Long non-coding RNA from Motacilla alba alba, 1622 nucleotides. RefSeq lists it as uncharacterized. Lineage: Eukaryota; Metazoa; Chordata; Aves; Passeriformes; Motacillidae. The record is from RefSeq and is a predicted model, not a curated record. The transcript has 2 exons.
UAUGAAGAAUGACAUGUAACUUUUCCAAAAUAACAUUUCCUAGUAAUAUUAGCCUACCCUUCAAAAAUAGGCAAAUUAUGCAAAUAAAUCAGCCUGCUGGAAAGAAAACCCUUUGUUUUAAAAUGUUGCUUUAGUGGUUAAAAAUCACAACCUAGCUGAACAGGUGAGUUGCUGCUUCCCUAGGUAUUGACCCUGCAACAGGAGGAGUUGUUCUACAGGAAUUGUGAUCUCUGCAGUUUUAAAUCAGUCAGAUACAUGAACUUGUACCUUCCCACUUCAGCUGAACAAAAUCAACAAAUCUGUGCACCACCCAUAACUCCAGGACGGCCUGCACCAGUAUUAAGAGACACGAAAUUAUUGUCUCUGCAUUACCAAUGUAAGCACCUGUCUUUGUUUAACAUGUAAGGAGGAAUGAGAAGAUUUAUCAGCAGCAGCUUGGAAAGCAGUUGUGUUGGGUAUGUCUGUGGUCUGUGCUCUUUUCAUACAAAGGCCACUGGCUCCAUCUAGUGUCACUGGUUUUCCCAGAAGCACAGUAUUUAGCACUUCAAAUUUUUUGGAAGGAUCUCCUUUUACAAAAGUCUGAGCACAAAAUACAAGAGUUCUGAAGUUAAAUCAGAAUUCAUUUCGCUAUUACUCCACUGGAAGUAUAAAGUGACCAGUUAAUAGUGAUGGGCAACAGCCAAACUCUUGUUCAAGAGAACGCAGUUGGAUGACAUUAAAAUGCUUCAGAAAACUUUUCUCCUUUUCUGUCAGUUCAGUCUGCAUUUAGUGAUCUUUUUUCCAGCAUGUCACUUGGAAAUAAAUUGCACUGCUACUGACUAACUGCUCACAGCUUGAGACAGAGGCAGCUCUCACGCUCCACCUCUGGGAUUUUUCCAGCCAGUUGUCACAAAUUCCUAGAAUGUGCUGGGUUACUUGGUCAGGCAGAGCAUGUUUUGCUUCAGCAAGCAGUGCUAAUGCUUGGCUGAUGCCAAUGAAAACCUCAGUGUAACAACUCAGAAAUCGCUACUGAAGUAGCCAAACUCCAGAACCCAGCAAGGAAAGGACAGGGGUUUCUUUUUAGCAAAAAGAGUGAAAUGAUAGUGAAAAUCCUGGAAAGUCAGGGCACUCUUUUAGCACUCUCUUCAAGUAAAAGAAUUAGAUGGGAUUUAGGCUUCAUUCUGAUUACUUGCUUUGCUUCUAUUCUUAGGAGAGGAACUGGAAGGGCAAAGCCUGUAAUCACUGCUGCAAGAGUUCGGAGAAUCCAGGAUGGCUCUAUCCCAGGUCACUGGUUGUCACAGAGGAGAGACCUUUCUGGCUGUAGCCUCUGUUAUCCAUGAACUUGCUCCUGAGCAAGAUGGAUCUCACACUUUAACAGCAAGCAAGAGCUGUAAUGCACAUCAAACAUCCCAAAUUCACAUCUGCUGCAAUGAACGUCAGCAGUUAAGGGAAGAUUGUGCUUGAAGCUCAGCAACACUCACAGCUAAGACUCACUGUAGGAAAAGGAACAGCCAUUUUCCACCAAGUGCUCUGGGUGAAAAAGCACUGCAGAUGAAAAUGAAGGAAGAAAUAAUCAAAAUGCACAGCACGGGUCCAAUUCUUGAAUGAAAACCAAGCUGGUAGGCUUAAAGUCACAAGCUAUA